GUAGGUGGCAAGCGUUGUCCGGAAUUAUUGGGCGUAAAGCGCGCGCAGGCGGUUCUUUAAGUCUGAUGUGAAAGCCCACGGCUCAACCGUGGAGGGUCAUUGGAAACUGGAGAACUUGAGUACAGAAGAGGAAAGCGGAAUUCCACGUGUAGCGGUGAAAUGCGUAGAGAUGUGGAGGAACACCAGUGGCGAAGGCGGCUUUCUGGUCUGUAACUGACGCUGAGGCGCGAAAGCGUGGGGAGCAAACAGGGAUUAGAUACCCUGGUAGUCCACGCCGUAAACGAUGAGUGCUAAGUGUUAGGGGGUUUCCGCCCCCCUUAGUGCUGCAGCUAACGCAUUAAGCACUCCGCCUGGGAUACGGCCGCAAGGCUG
RNAcentral lists this ribosomal RNA (372 nucleotides) under uncultured organism. RNAcentral's name for it is "partial 16S ribosomal RNA". It matches the Rfam family "Bacterial small subunit ribosomal RNA", at positions 527 to 896 of the family's 1533-position model. The record is from RNAcentral.